Molecule: long non-coding RNA, 1587 nt
Organism: Equus asinus (donkey)
Lineage: Eukaryota; Metazoa; Chordata; Mammalia; Perissodactyla; Equidae
Source: Ensembl
UGAGGCUCUCAGAACAGGUCCUAAUGAAGGAAGCUAGGUUACCUAGAUGCCUGUUCUCUUUCCUGCAAGGUCAAUUUUUCAUCUGGUUUGUGCCUAAUUCUGCCUCUUCGUGAUAAUGAGGCAGGUAUUUAGAAACCACAGAGUAGUCUAAAGAAGCUUCGGGUUGCCCUAACAGAAGUGACACAGGAAGGACUCACCUCGAGGGUAAGAACUCAGUAGUCAGGUAAUAUUGAGUCCUGGGUCACUUAGAGCAGUAUUUUUCUACCUUGGCUGGACAAGCAAUUACACAAAGAGCUUUUAAAACAUACUGAUGCCUGAGAGCCCUCACGCCUAGGUCUAAGCAAAGAUAAUUUUUAAGUUUCCCAGGUGAUUCUAAUUGCAGUAAGUUUUGAGAAUCUCUGAUAGAGGCUUCCAGUGUCUUCUUCAAAACCAAGUGGGAUAACCCCGAAUGACAGCAGUUCUUUCUGCCAGAGUAUUACAGUGCAUGCUCUGCAAAGGAAACCCAGAGGAGUAUCCUCUAGGAGCCAGAGUACUCUGUGGUGGGUGAAGAAGGCGCCAUAGUAUUAGCCAAAAAUUGCUGACUAUGAGAAAAAGUUAGGUAAUCCUGCGUGACACUGAGAUAAACCAUGAAAAGGAAAAAGUUCAAUUGUAUAUUUGAUAUCUGGAGGAUUUGGCCUAAUUCUUUAGUCUUUUAUCUUGUUGCUAACCAUCACCUGAAUACAGCCUAUCACUGUGGCAGAACUGGCCUCAUUUUGAAGAUAUUCAUUCCCUGACCUACUGUUUCUGAGGUCUCCACUCAACCAAACCUUCUGGAAGGUGGGAUGUUUGUCUAAUACCUGUAAGGUUGGAGAAAUCAAAUAUAUGCCUGUAAGAGACCUAAAUAUUUCUAUGAACUUUUUACACAGACCCAGCUCCCUGCCUUGUUAUCACACAAGCCUUCUGUUUACAUUGUGUAAGGUCACUAACUGCUUAACAUCUAGUGGUAACCGGAGAAAAAAGCUACACUGAUUGAUUUUCAGCAAAACUUUUUAAGGUCCCUCUGCUCUUAAAUUUAAAAAUUUUUUCAAUCAUAUAUUCUGGACUUAAUUUUCCUGGUUGGCAUGUUGUUACUCAUCCUCUAUAAAAUGAGCCAUGGAGUUCUAUGUGAAGAAAACAACUGUAAGUAAUAUGCAUCCUUAACCAAAAUGUCCAAGAAUUCCAAUAACCCCCAAAUGCUUUUACAUAGGAGAUGAUAAUGAUGUCCUGAUAAAAUAGGAGUGCUUCAAAAGAUAAUGAGAAAGCCCUUCUUUUCAUUUAUUUAUUUUUUUGAGGAAGAUUAGCCCUGGACUAACAUCUGCCACCCAUCCUCCUCUUUUUGCUGAGGAAGACUGGGCCUGAGCUAACAUCCAUGCCCAUCUUGCUCUACUUUAUAUAUGGGAUGCCUGCCACAGCAUGGCUUGAUAAGCGGUGCAUAGGUCAGCACCGGGAUCCGAACUGGCGAACCCCAGUCUGCCGAAGCAGAACGUGCACACUUAACCACUGUGCCACUAGGCCAGCCCCAAGAAAGCCCUUCUUAAGAAAUCCAUAUGAGGCAAGAAAAAAACUCAC